UACGAAGGGGGCUAGCGUUGUUCGGAAUCACUGGGCGUAAAGCGCGCGUAGGCGGACUCUUAAGUCGGUGGUGAAAUCCUGGAGCUCAACUCCAGAACUGCCUUCGAUACUGAGAGUCUCGAGUCCGAGAGAGGUGAGUGGAACUGCGAGUGUAGAGGUGGAAUUCGUAGAUAUUCGCAAGAACACCAGUGGCGAAGGCGGCUCACUGGCUCGGUACUGACGCUGAGGUGCGAAAGCGUGGGGAGCAAACAGG
RNAcentral lists this ribosomal RNA (253 nucleotides) under uncultured bacterium. RNAcentral describes it as "partial 16S ribosomal RNA". It matches the Rfam family "Bacterial small subunit ribosomal RNA", at positions 524 to 776 of the family's 1533-position model. The record is from RNAcentral.